RNAcentral lists this long non-coding RNA (246 nucleotides) under Mytilus galloprovincialis (Mediterranean mussel). The record is from RNAcentral. Lineage: Eukaryota; Metazoa; Mollusca; Bivalvia; Mytilida; Mytilidae.
GGCGGAAAAUGGAAACGAACAAAAUCCGAAAAGCGACAGAAAAAACUGUUUCUUACUUCCGUUUGUUCUCCUUGGUUUAGUUGGGGGAGGUUUUUCCUUGGAACUAAUUGGAUAUUUAAAGCUAGAUCCAUUCAAUCGAAGGAAUGAUACAUCAGAUCUUUGCAGAAUACUCCCCUCUAGCAAAUCGUGUACUUUUAAGCCGGAAAAUGAAGAUGUUUUGCCAAAUUCAACGAGAAGUAGGGGUGA